AGCGAACGCUGGCGGCAUGCCUAACACAUGCAAGUCGAACGAGAUCUUCGGGUCUAGUGGCGCACGGGUGCGUAACGCGUGGGAAUCUGCCCUUUGGUUCGGAAUAACAGUUGGAAACGACUGCUAAUACCGGAUGAUGACGAAAGUCCAAAGAUUUAUCGCCAGAGGAUGAGCCCGCGUAGGAUUAGCUAGUUGGUGUGGUAAAGGCGCACCAAGGCGACGAUCCUUAGCUGGUCUGAGAGGAUGAUCAGCCACACUGGGACUGAGACACGGCCCAGACUCCUACGGGAGGCAGCAGUGGGGAAUAUUGGACAAUGGGCGAAAGCCUGAUCCAGCAAUGCCGCGUGAGUGAUGAAGGCCUUAGGGUUGUAAAGCUCUUUUACCCGGGAUGAUAAUGACAGUACCGGGAGAAUAAGCUCCGGCUAACUCCGUGCCAGCCGCCGCGGUAC
This 449-nucleotide ribosomal RNA is filed under the name uncultured bacterium. RNAcentral's name for it is "partial 16S ribosomal RNA". It matches the Rfam family "Bacterial small subunit ribosomal RNA", at positions 29 to 523 of the family's 1533-position model. The record is from RNAcentral.